Molecule: ribosomal RNA, 750 nt
Filed under: Cryptosporidium andersoni
Lineage: Eukaryota; Apicomplexa; Conoidasida; Eucoccidiorida; Cryptosporidiidae
Description: partial small subunit ribosomal RNA
Rfam family: Eukaryotic small subunit ribosomal RNA (bases 172-750)
Source: RNAcentral
GGGGGGGGGGGCUGCUUUUCAAAAAAAACAAGCAAGGGGAAGGGGGGGAGGGGAAGGGACCAACGGGGGGUAAGGAGGGGGGAAGGGGGGAAAGAAGGGGGACGAAUCAGGGAAGAAGGGAGGAGGAAGAAAAGGGCAAAAAAAAUAAAAGAAAGGAAGGAAGGGGGGAAAAAUUCACCAAAUUUGGUAAAAAAGAGGGGGGGGGUUGCAAGAAAUACCAAUCCAGGGCCUACCGUUCUGGUAAUUGGAAUGAGUGAAGUAUAAACCCCUUUACGAGUAUCAAUUGGAGGGCAAGUCUGGUGCCAGCAGCCGCGGUAAUUCCAGCUCCAAUAGCGUAUAUUAAAGUUGUGGCAGUUAAAAAGCUGGUAGUUGGAUUUCUGUUGUAUAAUUUAUAAUAUUACCAAGGUAAUUAUUAUAUUAUCAACAUCCUUCCUAUUAUAUUCUAAAUAUAUAGGAAAUUUUACUUUGAGAAAAUUAGAGUGCUUAAAGCAGGCAACUGCCUUGAAUACUCCAGCAUGGAAUAAUAAGUAAGGACUUUUGUCUUUCUUAUUGGUUCUAGGACAAAAGUAAUGGUUAAUAGGGACAGUUGGGGGCAUUCGUAUUUAACAGCCAGAGGUGAAAUUCUUAGAUUUGUUAAAGACGAACUACUGCGAAAGCAUUUGCCAAGGAUGUUUUCAUUAAUCAAGAACGAAAGUUAGGGGAUCGAAGACGAUCAGAUACCGUCGUAGUCUACCAUAAGCAGCCGACAGG